Molecule: ribosomal RNA, 478 nt
Filed under: uncultured bacterium
Lineage: Bacteria
Description: partial 16S ribosomal RNA
Rfam family: Bacterial small subunit ribosomal RNA
Source: RNAcentral
GAUGAACGCUAGCGGCAGGCUUAACACAUGCAAGUCGAGGGGUAUUUAUCUUCGGAUAGAGAGACCGGCGCACGGGUGCGUAACGCGUAUGCAAUCUACCUUUUACAGAGGGAUAGCCCAGAGAAAUUUGGAUUAAUACCUCAUAGUAUAUAGACUCGGCAUCGAGAUUAUAUUAAAGUCACAACGGUAAAAGAUGAGCAUGCGUCCCAUUAGCUAGUUGGUAAGGUAACGGCUUACCAAGGCUACGAUGGGUAGGGGUCCUGAGAGGGAGAUCCCCCACACUGGUACUGAGACACGGACCAGACUCCUACGGGAGGCAGCAGUGAGGAAUAUUGGACAAUGGGCGCAAGCCUGAUCCAGCCAUGCCGCGUGCAGGAUGACGGUCCUAUGGAUUGUAAACUGCCUUUAUACGAGAAGAAACACUGCUACGUGUAGCAGCUUGACGGUAUCGUAAGAAUAAGGAUCGGCUAACUCCGUG